AGCCUUGCACCAGAACCACUACCAAAAACGUUUAGAAGAACUUUGGAGAGUUCCUUCUUAAUUUUUUGACAGUCCCUCCUAGAUACUUUCACAGUCUAGGAGGGUCUUUAAGGUUGUCACUUGCAACCUUGAUAAGCUCUCUUUUUAGCCAUUGCUAUUUGCUUAGAAACAGAACUGGAACUGUUAUAGCGGUUCAACUCCUCUUGUAGGAUCUUCUUCCCUUUUUUGAAGGUCUUAUCUGAAAUUUG
Small RNA from Streptococcus pyogenes M1 GAS, 248 nucleotides. It matches the Rfam family "rivX sRNA". The record is from Rfam. NCBI's taxonomy places the organism in Bacteria, Bacillati, Bacillota, Bacilli, Lactobacillales, Streptococcaceae.